UGACGACUGUUCCUCCUGCUGCUCUAAGAUUUGGCAUGUCAGGAUUUUAGGUCGUCACAGAUCAAACAGGGCCUAUUUCACCCAGUGUGCAGCAGGCAGCGGGGCUGCCUUUUUUGCUCUCUGGUUUUGCGGGACCCAACAAAA
Small nucleolar RNA from Alosa alosa (allis shad), 144 nucleotides. RefSeq annotates it as small nucleolar RNA SNORA79. The transcript has a single exon. The record is from RefSeq and is a predicted model, not a curated record. Lineage: Eukaryota; Metazoa; Chordata; Actinopteri; Clupeiformes; Clupeidae.